Molecule: ribosomal RNA, 253 nt
Filed under: uncultured bacterium
Lineage: Bacteria
Description: partial 16S ribosomal RNA
Rfam family: Bacterial small subunit ribosomal RNA
Source: RNAcentral
UACGGGGGGAGCAAGCGUUGUUCGGAUUUACUGGGCGUAAAGGGCGCGUAGGCGGCGCAACAAGUCACUUGUGAAAUCUCCGGGCUUAACCCGGAGCGGUCAAGUGAUACUGUCGUGCUAGAGUGCGGAAGGGGCUACUGGAAUUCUCGGUGUAGCGGUGAAAUGCGUAGAUAUCGAGAGGAACACCUGCGGCGAAGGCGGGUAGCUGGGCCGACACUGACGCUGAGGCGCGAAAGCCAGGGGAGCGAACGGG